RNAcentral lists this transfer RNA (73 nucleotides) under Aedes aegypti (yellow fever mosquito). It matches the Rfam family "tRNA". From Rfam's summary of the family: Transfer RNA (tRNA) molecules are approximately 80 nucleotides in length. Their secondary structure includes four short double-helical elements and three loops (D, anti-codon, and T loops). Further hydrogen bonds mediate the characteristic L-shaped molecular structure. tRNAs have two regions of fundamental functional importance: the anti-codon, which is responsible for specific mRNA codon recognition, and the 3' end, to which the tRNAs corresponding amino acid is attached (by aminoacyl-tRNA synthetases). tRNAs cope with the degeneracy of the genetic code in two manners: having more than one tRNA (with a specific anti-codon) for a particular amino acid; and 'wobble' base-pairing, i.e. permitting non-standard base-pairing at the 3rd anti-codon position. Lineage: Eukaryota; Metazoa; Arthropoda; Insecta; Diptera; Culicidae. The record is from Rfam by way of RNAcentral.
CCUCUCGUGGUGUAGAGGUAACGCGGCCUAUCUAAUGAACAGGGAAUCAUGGGUUCAAUUCUCGUCGAGAAAA